RNAcentral lists this ribosomal RNA (448 nucleotides) under Pseudocalanus elongatus. RNAcentral describes it as "partial 16S ribosomal RNA". Lineage: Eukaryota; Metazoa; Arthropoda; Copepoda; Calanoida; Clausocalanidae. The record is from RNAcentral.
CUUAAAUCAUAAUUUAUACUGCCUGCUCAAUGAAAAAUUUUAAUAGCCGCGGUAGUGCUAAGGUAGCAUAAUAAUUAGCUUUUUAAUUGAAAGAUGGAAUGAAAGGUUUCACUAGAAAAAUAUAUUUAAUAUUAAAAAAUGAAAUUUUAUUUUUAAUGAAAAUAUUAAAAUAUUUUUAUUAGACAAAAAGACCCUAUGAAGCUAAAGGUGGUAAAUUAAAAAUAUAAAAGUUAUUAUUAUACCUAUUUUUUGGGGUAAAAUCUAAUAUCAAUAUUUUUAUUCAUUUCUAAAAAGAGCCUUUAGGAACUAUGAAAAAGCUCCUCUAGGGAUAACAGCAUAAUACUUACAAAAGUUCUUAUUAGAAUAAGUGUUUAUGACCUCGAUGUUGAAUUAAAUAUUAAUAUUUGUGAAGUAGCUAUUAUUAAUUAGUCUGUUCGACUAAAAAUUU